GCCCUCCCAACAAAAAAGCAAAACAGGGCUGGCCCUAUAAGCCCUACAAGCCCCAAAUCUAAUCUUCUCCUCCCUGAGACCUUGACCUGAGAUUUUAGGCUGAGAACUACUUGCAUUGAAAGAGUGAAACUGUGAAAGGAUUUGCCUUGAAAUGGUGAAACUGUGAAAGGAUCUGCGUUCUACCUGUGAAAUCCGUGGCUAUUUCUCCUCCCUCACGCGGAAUCAGAGUGCAGUUUCCUGGUGUGGAAAACUGAAUGCUAUAGCUUGUGCCUCUGAAACAUAUGCUAGAAUUCCCAGCUCAACUGCAAAUCCCACCACUUUGGAUCCCUAUACAUAUUGUGAUCCCAGAGAGGCCUACUGAAU
Non-coding RNA from Arachis ipaensis, 363 nucleotides. The record is from RefSeq and is a predicted model, not a curated record. NCBI's taxonomy places the organism in Eukaryota, Viridiplantae, Streptophyta, Magnoliopsida, Fabales, Fabaceae.